RNAcentral lists this non-coding RNA (24 nucleotides) under Arabidopsis thaliana (thale cress). The record is from RNAcentral. Lineage: Eukaryota; Viridiplantae; Streptophyta; Magnoliopsida; Brassicales; Brassicaceae.
CUAGUCAUAAACAAAUCGGCCAUA